GACCCAGUAGCCUAAAGGAUACAGCAUCAGCAUUCAAAGCUGGGGAUUGUGGGUUCAAGUUCCUACUUGGGUCA
Molecule: transfer RNA, 74 nt
Filed under: Alligator mississippiensis (American alligator)
Lineage: Eukaryota; Metazoa; Chordata; Crocodylia; Alligatoridae
Rfam family: tRNA
About the family: Transfer RNA (tRNA) molecules are approximately 80 nucleotides in length.
Source: Rfam by way of RNAcentral